This 103-nucleotide microRNA precursor is filed under the name Marmota monax (woodchuck). Lineage: Eukaryota; Metazoa; Chordata; Mammalia; Rodentia; Sciuridae. The record is from RNAcentral.
AGAGGAAUAGCUGGGUCAAAUGGUGGUCACAUUCCCUGCUUUCCAAGGAAUCUCCAUACUGCUUUCCAAAUUGGCUGCACCAAUUUGCAGUCCCACUAGCAGU